This 350-nucleotide ribosomal RNA is filed under the name Gregarinasina sp. GpGregsp. Its description in RNAcentral is "bacterial SSU rRNA". It matches the Rfam family "Eukaryotic small subunit ribosomal RNA", at positions 1302 to 1674 of the family's 1831-position model. The record is from RNAcentral. Lineage: Eukaryota; Apicomplexa; Conoidasida.
UGGCAGGUCUUCGGCUGGUUAAUUCCGUUAACGAACGAAACCUUAACCUGAUAAAUACCCUCCUAAGCUUAACGCUUUGGCUGUGCUUCUUAUAUGGACUUUGCGUGUAUAACGCAUGGAAGUUUAAGGCAAUAACAGGUCUGUGAUGCCCUUAGAUGUUCUGGGCUGUACGCUCUCUACACUGAUACAUACAGAGAGUCUUCCUGGCUUGAAAAAGUUGGGUAAUCUUGUGAAUGUGUAUCGUGAUGGGGAUAGACUAUUGCAAUUGUUCGUCUUGAACGAGGAAUUCCUAGUAAGCACAAGUCAUUAGCUUGUGCUGAUUACUUCCCUGCCCUUUGUACACACCGCCC